This 69-nucleotide transfer RNA is filed under the name Hylemya vagans. RNAcentral describes it as "tRNA-Arg". Lineage: Eukaryota; Metazoa; Arthropoda; Insecta; Diptera; Anthomyiidae. The record is from RNAcentral.
GAAUAUGAAGUAAUAAAUUACAAUUAGUUUCGACCUAAUAUUAGGUAAAUUUUACUUUAUCCUUAUUCU